This 555-nucleotide ribosomal RNA is filed under the name uncultured bacterium. RNAcentral describes it as "bacterial SSU rRNA". It matches the Rfam family "Bacterial small subunit ribosomal RNA", at positions 355 to 896 of the family's 1533-position model. The record is from RNAcentral.
UAGGGAAUNUUGGAGCAAAUGGGGCGGCAAGCCCUGAUCCGAGCCAUGCCGCGUGUAGUGAAGAAGGCCUUCGGAUUGUAAAGGUCUUUUGUCAGGGAAGAAAAGGCUGUUGAUAAUAAAGACAGCUGAUGACGGUACCUGAAGAAUAAGCACCGGCUAAAUACGUGCCAGCAGCCGCGGUAAUACGUAGGGUGCGAGCGUUAAUCGGAAUUACUGGGCGUAAAGCGAGCGCAGACGGUUACUUAAGCAGGAUGUGAAUCCCCGGGCUCAGCCUGGGAAUUGCGUUCUGAACUGUCUGACUAGAGUGCGUCAGAGGGAGGUGGAAUUCCACGUGUAGCAGUGAAAUGCGUAGAGAUAUGGAGGAAUACCGAUGGCGAAAGCAGCUUUCUGGUAUAUCACUGACGUUCAGGCUCGAAAGCGUGGGUAGCAAACAGGAUUAGAUACCCUGGUAGUCCACGCCCUAAACGAUGUCAAUUAGCUGUUGGGCAACUUGAUUGCUUAGUAGCGUAGCUAACGCGUGAAAUUGACCGCCUGGGGAAUACGGUCGCAAGAUUA